Molecule: ribosomal RNA, 1326 nt
Filed under: Triticum aestivum (bread wheat)
Lineage: Eukaryota; Viridiplantae; Streptophyta; Magnoliopsida; Poales; Poaceae
Description: partial small subunit ribosomal RNA
Source: RNAcentral
AUGAAGAUCACGGUGCAGUCAUCCAAGUCCAUCAAGCCUGACUAUGGCGCCCACCGCCCGGCGGCUCCUCCGUUCACGGCGAACGUCGUCCCGCUCUCAGUGUUCGACAAGGCCAACUUGGACACGCAGGUCUCCGUCCUCUACGCCUUCCACCCGCCGGCCCCGCCGAACGGCGUCCUCGAGGCCGGGCUCGCCAGGGCCCUCGUCGACUACCGCGAGUUCGCCGGGCGUCUCGCCCGGGACGCCGACGGCAGCCGCCGCGCCAUCCUCCUCAACGACGCCGGCGCGCGGUUCGUCGAGGCGACGGCCGGCGUGGCGCUCGGCAGCGUCAUGCCGCUGCGGCCCACCCCCGCGGUGCUGAGCCUGCACCCGAGCGGCGGCGACGAGCUGAUGCUGGUCCAGGCCACGCGGUUCGCGUGCGGGUCCCUCGUCGUCGGCCUGACCGUGCACCACACCGUCGCCGACGGCCGAGGGUUCUGCAACUUCAUCCUCGCCUGGGGCCAGGCCACGCGCGGCGCCCCCGUCGACCCCGUCCCGGUGCACGACCGGCCGUCCUUCUUCGCGCCGCGCAGCCCUAAGAUCGAGCACGAGCACCGCCGCGUCGAGUUCAAGCCAUACGGCGCCCGCAAGGACGACUACGCCGGCGGUGGCGGCGGCGAGGAGGAGGAGGAGGUGGUGGUAGAGAGGGUGCACUUCAGCGCGGACCGCAUCGCGAAGCUGAAGUCGCAGGCGUCGUCGGCUGGGGCGCGGUACAGCACGGUGCAGUGCGUGCUGGCGCACCUGUGGCGGUGCGUGACGCGGGCGCGCGGGCUGGACGGGCGCGACGCCACCGCCCUGCUCAUCGGAGUGGACGGGCGAAGGCGGAUGAGCCCGCCGGUGCCGGACGGGUACACCGGCAACGUGGUGCUCUGGGCGCGGCCCACGGCCACCGCGCGGGAGCUCAUGGACAUGCCGCUGCGCCACGCAGCGGAGCUCAUCGGCCGGGCGGUUGCACGGGUCGACGACGCCUACUACAAGUCCUUCAUCGACUUCGCCUGCUCCGGGACCGUGGAGGAGGAGCGGCUGGUGCCGACGGCCGACGCGGCGGACACGGUGCUGAGCCCGAACGUCGAGGUGAACAGCUGGGUGCGUCUCCCGUUCUACGACCUGGACCUGGGCGGCGGCCGGCCCUUCCUCUUCAUGCCCAGCUACGUGCCGGUGGAGGGCGUGGCCUUCCUUGUGGCGUCCUUCGCCGGCGACGGCAGCGUGGACGCCUACGUUUCCCUCUUCCGCCGCGACAUGGAUGCCUUCCGGAACUGCUGCGCAUCCGGCCUCUCAAAACUCUAG